GGGCUAACGAGAUUUCGAUUUCUUUUUCGAUUCUUUCUUUAUUAUUGAUUCAUGUGUCGGACUAGUUGCUUGCCAAAAAAAGGCCUAUACUGGUGGUUUUUAUGGUCUUUCCUGUUAAAUGAAAUGUCCCUGCCUUCUUUUCGUUCUUGCACAACCUAUUCUGAUGUCGCCGAAUCGGCUUAAAUCGGGCUUGAUGCCAUCUGCGGUUCGGAAUCCAUGUGGG
This 223-nucleotide unclassified non-coding RNA is filed under the name Hevea brasiliensis (rubber tree). Lineage: Eukaryota; Viridiplantae; Streptophyta; Magnoliopsida; Malpighiales; Euphorbiaceae. The record is from RNAcentral.